Gorilla gorilla gorilla (western lowland gorilla) is the source of this 3418-nucleotide RNA transcript. It is a transcript of the gene named putative UPF0633 protein, with no coding region annotated. The record is from RefSeq and is a predicted model, not a curated record. The transcript is spliced from 2 exons. NCBI's taxonomy places the organism in Eukaryota, Metazoa, Chordata, Mammalia, Primates, Hominidae.
UUUAAUUACAAGUGUGCUCCUGGUGGUCUUUAACUGAAGGGCACUGACUGGGUCACUGGUGAAGUUCCCCGCAGGAACUGAGUCAGACCCCAUCUCAGGGCCCUGCACAAGAUAGGUGCCUGCUCUAAGGCGUGGACCCUCGCGACAGCCCUGGCCGGUCUUGACGGGCGAGGGUUACUGUACUUGUCCCAACCGUAUAGAUGAGAAAGCUGAGACUCAGGGCGAGCAACCCGGGUCCCAGCGGAGCACCCGGCACGCGCCGACACUUCAGCGCCAGCCGCGGUGGCCACCAUUGUGCUCGGAGAUGGCUGCGACGCGUGCGCAGGCGAAUGGCAGGCAUCCAGAUCUCCAAGAAUAGAGGAUUAGGAGAGACUCCACCACCUAUGUCCUCACAGUUAAUUAUCGAUUUGUGUCACUUGCCCAUUUUCUCACUUCCUGUUUGUGUGUCAAGGAGUAUUAAUAAAUCUUUGCCUAUUUAAAGAUAUUAGCCUUGGAUUUUCAAAUAUUGCAUAUUUUGACAUGUACAAAUUUGUUAGUUUUAUUUUUUCAACCGAUCUGACCUGUACAGUUGGGCUUGAGGAAGCUUCCUCAUUCUACAUGUUACUAUGGAUUUUCUAAUAUUAACGCAGGGUUGUAUUUUUUCCAUAUAACUUUCUGUUGAAUUUCUUUUUCCAUAUGAUAGGUGGUGAAGGUUUAGCCCAGUAAAGCAGAGAGGUUAAGAGGUUAGACUGGGGGCUCUGGAGCCAGACCUAUGUAGACCUGAGUCCUGGCUCUGGCACUUGAAAGCCGUGUGACCUUGGUUAAGAUACUUAGCCCCUCUCUGCCAAAUGGAGAAAUAAGGGCACCUACCCCAUAGGGUAGUUGUGUGAUUACACAAGUUAAUACACUUCAAUCACUAGCAAGAAAGGGAAUGUCAAGCUGUAUUUGUUCAGGCAGCCAUAUGGUAGCCCCACCUCAUUAGUAAACUGAGGUAUUGAAGUAUCUUCUUUUUCUUUCAGAAAAUAUUUGUCAAGCACCUUCUGUGUUCUAAGAACUGUUCUAGAGCUUUGCAUGCUAUGGAGGUCUAGAAAUUCACAUUAUGGUGGCAGGUGACAGACAAUACAAAGAGAUAAAGCAAUUUCAUAUAGUGAUAAGCUAGGGAGGAGUGCUAAAAGGAGCCAAGGUGUAGUGGUGACUGGAAGGUGACCAGGGAAACAGCUUCUAGGGUUUCUAAGUGAUGAGAUCUGUGACAAAUCCCUGUGGUCAGCAGCAGGCAUUGGAUAUGAAACUUUAUUCUGUCCCAUUGAUCUUGUAGUCAACCCUGGUCUGUUCUGUAUUGUUUUAAUUACAUAAUCUUUGUAAUAAUCUUUAAUACCUGGUGGAGUGCUCUGUUUACUUAUUUCUGCAUAAUUAACCACCUCUAAGCUUAACUUACUCAUGGUUCUGCAGGGUGACUGCUCUCCAUGGUUCUAGGUGGUUCUGCUACACCUAGAACAUGUGCUACAGUCAAACAUUAGUCGGGGCCACAGUCAUCUGAAACUCACUUACACGGCUUACAAUUGAUGUUGGCUGUUGCCUGGAGAAGACAUAUGUGGCCUGGUGGAAUGGAAUGGUGAUGGUGACUAGAUUCAAGAAAGAGCUUCCCAGGAGCAAGGCUACCAAGAGACGGAAGCAGAGGCUUCAGUUUCUUUAAAAAAAAAAAAAAAAUCGGGCCAGGCACGAUGACUCACGCAUGUAAUCCCAGCAUUUUGGGAGGCCAAGGCAGGCAGAUCACAAGGUCAUGAGAUCGAGACCAUCCUGGCCAACAUAGUGAAACCCGUCUCUAAUUAAAAAAAAUACAAAAAUUGGCUGGGCAUGGUGGUGUGAACCGGUAGUCCCAACUACUCGGGAGGCUGAGAUGAGAAUCUCUAGAACCUGGGAGGCGGAGGUUGCAGUGAGCUGAGAUUGCACCACUGCACUCCAGCCUGGCAAUAGAGCGAGACUCCAUCUCAAAAAAAAAAAAAAAAUCCCAUAGUAGAAUUCCCAGAAUGGAAUUUAUGUCAUAUUCUAUGGAUUGAGCAAGUUGCAAGGCAGCCAGAUUCAAGGGGAGGGGAGCUAUUCCUCACCUCUUGAGAAGUAAUGUGUGUUGAGGAAGGGAAAGAAUUGAUGGUAGCUGUCUUUGACUUCUACCAUACAGAGCAAGGUCUCCACACUCCUUUCUCCUGUAAUAAUUUUCCAUUUGAAAAUUUUCCUUGCAAUUCUCACACCUUUAUUAUUUCGUAUAAAUUUAACAAUCAAUUUUUUUCUUGUCUACAUAACCAUGCCAUUUAGAUUAAAAUUGCAUUACAUUGCAACUUUUGAGAAACUAUGGGAGGAGAAUUGGCAACCUUAUAAUAUUGAAUUUGCUCAUUAAGGAACACAGUUUCUCUGUUUAUUUAGGUGUUAUAUUUUUCAUAACAUACAUGUUCGUAUUUCUACCCAGGCUUUUCUCUUUGUUUUGUCAUGUAACCCAUGAAUAAGACUGCACUGUCUGUGUGAUUGGGCAGUUGCCCAAAGUUUAAGGUGUUACCAUGCAUUAAUUCACUUAAUCACUCCUCAUUUCCUCCUUCCCUCAACCUCUGACAACCACGAAUCUGCUUUCUGUCUCUAGAUUUGCCUAUUCUGGACAUUUUAUAUAAAUGUGUCAUCCAAUAUCUGGUCUUUUCUGACUUGCUUCUUUCACUUAGCAGGAUUCUACGGUUUAUUGAGGUUCAUUCAUUGUGUAGCCUGUAUCAGUACUUCAUUCCUGUUUAUGGCUGAAUAAUGUUCCACUGUAUGUACAUGUGUAUGUAUACCACACUUUGUAUAUCCAUUUAUUUCCUGGAGGAUAUCUGGGUUAUUUACAGUAUAUUUCAGGAGUCCCCAAGAUCAUCCUCCCCCUUGAUCUACUGCUCUUUGUAUCUUAUAUGACCUGUGGAGAACUAUUUAUCUGGAAAUUAGGUGAUGGUUAACUAAAUAUAGUUCUUCUAAAGACUCAUUUUCCAUUGCCAUUACAUCCUGAGGAGACUUUAACUCAAUCUCCCAAUACAUUUGAUCAUCAAUAUCAGUAUUACCACAUGACUUAUUUGCAUGAGGUAAUCAAAUCUAACCAGCCAUGCCAGUGUUACCCAUAUUGCAUGUUGUGGUAGUAGAUGCAGCCCCCCAAAAUAAAAGUCAAAAGAUGCUGGCACAUUCCUGAGGUUCUUCUCAGCCACUAACAAUUGGUGCAGUUCAUCAUCACCUGGAAUGACCAAAAUGUCUCCCAUGGAAAUAUGGCUCAGCUCUGUGGGCUUCCAUUUAACUUUGUCAGGUUCUGAGGCAGGGCUGGCUUGAGUGGUCUUGUUUCCACUUUGGCUAUGAUGAAUAAUGCUGCUGUGAACAUUCAGGUAUACGUUUUUGUGUGGUUUCAUUUCUUUUAAGUAUAUACCUUGGAGUGUAAUUA